GCAGAGUAGAUUUGUGUGCGUUAAGUGCCGGGUGGACAGGGAGUUGCCAUUCGGACGAAAGGGUAGAACUUGCGGUACACAUUUCGCAUCCCGCUGC
RNAcentral lists this non-coding RNA (97 nucleotides) under uncultured Lachnospira sp. RNAcentral's name for it is "THF riboswitch". It matches the Rfam family "THF (Tetrahydrofolate) riboswitch aptamer". Rfam says of the family: THF riboswitch presents a pseudoknot that joins P1-P2 and the loop of P3 and two THF binding. Lineage: Bacteria; Bacillati; Bacillota; Clostridia; Lachnospirales; Lachnospiraceae. The record is from RNAcentral.